Long non-coding RNA from Papaver somniferum (opium poppy), 530 nucleotides. RefSeq lists it as uncharacterized. The transcript is spliced from 2 exons. Lineage: Eukaryota; Viridiplantae; Streptophyta; Magnoliopsida; Ranunculales; Papaveraceae. The record is from RefSeq and is a predicted model, not a curated record.
AGGUAAGAGUUAAAAUUAGUAAUCGUUGACCAAAAACUUCCCCGCUGUAUAAAGAAUGGGGUAUUCAUAAGAAAAAAGUACAAAUCGAUAUAGAUUUCUAGCGGAGUUCCUGAAGUUAUUAAGAAGAGAUCGAGAAAAGGAUAAUGGCAUCCAUAUGCAAAGGCAAGAGUUCAUGGCCUGAACUAGUUGGGUGUGACGGAGAUACCGCCGCUGCAACUAUCAAGAAACAAAAUCGUAACAUCGUGAGCGCCAUUGUUGUGCUAGAAGGAACUGGUGUAAUAGAGGAUUUCAGGUGCAACAGGGUCUGGGUUUGGGUCAAUGGCAGCGGAAUUGUCACCAUCACACCUGUAAUUGGGUGAAAUUAAGUUAAGUGGAUGGAAAACAAGUGGCAGCUGAUAUUGUCUUUCUGGUAUCUUAGCACAAAUGUAUGUUACUGAUAAAAUAAAUAAACUUAUUUCUGCAAUGUUUCCAAUCAAAAAGUUUAAAUACAUACUAUAUCUUCCGUAAUUGUCGAAACACUGAUACAUAAA